RNAcentral lists this long non-coding RNA (3949 nucleotides) under Pomacea canaliculata. RNAcentral describes it as "uncharacterized LOC112565048, transcript variant X3". Lineage: Eukaryota; Metazoa; Mollusca; Gastropoda; Architaenioglossa; Ampullariidae. The record is from RNAcentral.
AUCAAUAAAACUGUAAUGUCAUCCAAAAGGCUACUUAAAUUUUUCCUCAAGUGUCAUUCAAAUAAUUAGUGAAAGGGUGAAUUUGUAAUGGUCAUUUUAUAAUGAUAGUGCUUGCCGAGCAACGGCCUACAGGUACGCUAGCUAGCUUGAAGCCGCACACAUGCGGGAAAGAAUCUUUUACACUAGCAAUAGAACUCCGAGGGGUUGGAGAGGGCAUAAUGUACACCUAUCCCUGUGUGUAAACGAUCUUCUGCUCUGAUGUGAAUAAAAUGUGCCACGAACUUAUACAUCUAUACGAUAGAUAGGUAGGUUAAUACACUGCACAAAAAAGACUAGGGUCUACGCGGAAAAAAAAAAAAACCAAAAGAAGGCAAACAGCUUAUUCCAGACAUGGACCAGCCUCUUUUUGGAACAAGAUAAAAAAUUUGGUCACAAAGCGUGGUUAGUCUUUUAAAAAAUAGACUACCCUUUUUAUUAUAUGUCUUUUAUUUACCGAUUUCUUAUUUUUCAGCGUCGUAGGCAUUAGGUUAACCAUCUACAGGGAGACAAUUCUGAGCAGACAAUCGUAUGUGCAGAUUCUGGGGGAAGUUAAGCAUGACAACAUGGAAUGGUCUGCUUGAAAUGUGCCUGAUUGUUGGCAGUUUUGUGGUGAUCACAGUCAUUGUCUCAAUCUGUUACUGCUGGUUUUACAAAGGGCAUCACACAUCUCACAGUAGAAAUGGCCAGCCUAGGGAUCUCUCUGCCACCACUUUUACUGAAGUGUUGCAAAGUACACCUGCUACCACACCACGAAGGCCACUUCAUUCAGAUGUACAGCCAGGAGCAGCUGUCAUCAUACCAGGGAGACCAGUUCAUAGAUCUGAGUAUCAUAUGCUUCCUUGCAUAAUUGACUGCAAAAGCUUACCACUACCAUCAUCUGUAGCUCCCACAGCGCCUGAUUUUCCUGGUGAUGAUGAUACCACAAUUGCCUCUACAUCUCUGGGGUUAUUAUCAUCCAUUCCACAGCCUCGAUUACCUGAGUCUGAAUUAUCUAUAGCUCGGCCACUAACAACAUCUUCUCUGCCUCCACCUGCAUAUUCUGAGUUAUUUCCUGGAAGAAAGUGAAUUUCAUGGCUAACAUAACCAUUGAGAAUCAUUUUACCACAUUUUGGAGACGAGUACUCUGAAAACUGUUAACAUAAACAUCUCAUCUGGCUCUCAUUUUUUCAUUCUUAUAAAUAGAUGUUGCAACUCAAGUUGCUCCAGCAUUAUGGCAUUCCUUUAACCCACUCCACUCAGGGUGUUUAUUAUAUAAUAUUGACUUCUUUUGCAUAAACAGGCAGUGGCCAAAGGUCAGAACAAGUAUGUUAAUUUGCUAGCCCCAGACAUCACAUAAAGGGGAUCUUGUCUUACUGCAGCUAUAUAUAGGCAUCUAUUAUACAGUAAAAAUUAGCAUUCAAGGAUCAUCUGGAAAAUGUUUUACUGGUUAGGCUAAAGUUUCAUGAGAUGUGGGUAUGUGCACUUUUUGACCUACCUGAAAGAUCACUUGAGUUAGACCUCUUAUGUUUUGUACCCUAGAUUUCACAUGUGCGGUAAUUCCAGAACACCUUUGAGAAGAUAAAUAUUCAUAUGAAAAAGACGUAAAAUGACAUACAUAGUAGAAAACUAAAGGUCACAAACUAGAAUUAUGACCUUUUCGUUCAGCGAAAGGGUUAGAGCUAUGACAAGUAAGGUAGGUGCAGAAAUAUAUUAAAAAGAAAGGAAACAGGAAAACACUUUGAUCAGUUAUGAAUGAAAAGAGUGCUUUCUGUGUUCUGUGUUCAGCCAGUUUAAAAGUUUUCACUUUGACAGAGUGCUUAAUUACAAGGUAGCUUGUGGAAUAUGCAUUAUUUAUAGCUCAAAACCUUAAGAAAGUGGUAUUAAAAUAAGCUUCAAGAUAAAACUGGGCAAGAGGCAGGAUUCAAAUUCAUUUCGGUAACCAUAAGGUAGAGAAGAAACCUUUGGAUACUGCCAGUAUUAAACAUGCUGCAUCCCUUUUCCAUGCCUUUGUAUGACCUUCUCCCUCUGUUUCCUACAGCAGGAAGGUCAAGGUGCCUGCAUUUCAGUACAUUCAAAAGAUGAUCCUUGAUCCUAUUGUGCCAUUUGACUUUAAAAAGCAGGGUUGAAAGCUUAUGUAACAAAUUGGAGCAUAAAUUUUUAAUGUAUGUGUCAGUAUGUCAUCAUUGGAUAUUUAUUGUUUUGGUUUAAUGUGUAAAUCUUGUCUGCAAAGGGUCAGUCCAGUCACAGAGUUCUUGAUCUGAAAUAUAAGGUAUAUAGGUUUGUUUCUUUUCAUUUUUGCUACUAUUUUUACCAUCUUAUUGUCACGUUGACUUUAAACUGUGACUUUAGAAAUUUGUAAAGGCUGUUCCAUUAUAAGAACACAGAAGGGUGUGUGCAAUGUUUCAUCUGUUUUAUCUUUUAUCCAUAUGCAUAUUACUGUAAAACUUCUUUAUGUGUGGCAUUGAAUAGAUGCUUAGUUUUUACGUUUUAACAGAAUCAGGAUUAAGUGAUUUUAAAACAUUUUCAUGAUUAACAUGGACUAUUAACUGCAAGAGUGUUAUUGGUCUAAUGCUUUAAAAAUAGCUUUGUGAACCUCAGAUGUAAAAAAAUAUUGCAGAAAACAAGAUACCAUUCUAGCUCUUUGUAUGGAUGCAUUUUAAACAAGUCACUGUCACUAAAUAUUUUCUGAGGUUACGCUCUAUAUGUUUACAUUCAGAAAGAAUCAUUUAUUUUGUUUUGUUUUUUUUAUGUCCAGAAAUCUGUAAGGUUGUUCUAUAAAUGACUCGCUGUCAGUAUUUACAAUUAUGUGCAAUACAGCAAUCUUUUCAGCAGUAAGAAUAUUGAAAAAUAUUUUUAUACAUUCGAUAAUGUGACAUAAUAUUCAAUGACUCCAUCAGUAUUCUUAGCAUCAUUGUUUCAUUCAGCUGUUUUCCUUGCCCGGGAAUGAAAUACGCGUGCCUAAUCUCUGUAUAUAUAGAUUCUGCUUUUGUCUGUAUGUGCGUGUGUGUGCUUGCAUGCAUAUGGAUUAAGUCUACGUCUUUAACUUUCAUAUUAUUGUAUUUGUUAUAAACAAAUGAUAUAACUUUCAUGAAAGGCACAAACAGUGAACUAUAAUUAUUUUUGAAACAACCUUGCAAUAAUGCUAACAAACAUCUCAGGUGUGAUCUUAGCGUAUGUUUGCAUAAAACUGCUGCGAUAAGCCAAAGCAUCAAGAUCUGUAAGCUUAUAGAACCAUUCUGAUAUUUUAUCUAAUUUUUUGUAACUAAUGUAAAUGGUGCGGUCUUCUCAUAUCAUUUUACUCUUUAGUACAUGUAUUAUUUAAAUACAUCUUAAACCAUACUUUCUGUCAUUUCACGUUUUACCAAAUUAAUUUCCAAGCAAUUCAAUAUUAAGAACUGCAUUUUAUAGACAUAAGGUAUGGCGGCAUUGUGACUGAUAAAUGUGUUCUGAAGUUUAUCAAGUCUUAAGAUUCACAUUCCUUUUUUUUAAACAGUGUUUCCUUUAUGCUUAAUUAUUUAAUGGUUUAAUUGCUAAUAAAUUGGUGAAUGUAUGGAUGUGCUAUGUUCAUCUGGUGCUGCAUACAUAGCUGCUUGAAGCAUGUGCAUCAGCAUGAAAUAAUUGAAAGUUGUACCUAGAAAUCUUGCCAAGUGUUUACGGAUAGUGUCCAAGUUGUCAAAAUUAAGUGGAAUCUCUAAGAAGGCCAAAACUUGUAUUCUCUGCUUGGUGGAUAAAAACGUUUUAUAAAUGUAUAUUAUUCUUAUUGGAUGUGAUAUUCAGUGUCUGUAAUAAGAUUUAUUUAAUAAUACAUUUUAUGGUUAAAUGAUAAUUUUUUAUAUUGCAUUAAUAUAUACAUUUGUCAAAGUACAUGUUGUGUAUUUUGGAUUACAGUCUGCUGGAUUUAAAUAAAUGCAUUAAAAAAAUCAAGGACCUG